This 253-nucleotide ribosomal RNA is filed under the name uncultured bacterium. Its description in RNAcentral is "partial 16S ribosomal RNA". It matches the Rfam family "Bacterial small subunit ribosomal RNA", at positions 524 to 776 of the family's 1533-position model. The record is from RNAcentral.
UACGGAGGGUGCAAGCGUUAUCCGGAUUCACUGGGCUUAAAGGGUGCGUAGGUGGGCAGGUAAGUCAGUGGUGAAAUCUCCGGGCUUAACUCGGAAACUGCCAUUGAUACUAUCUUUCUUGAAUACCGUGGAGGUCAGCGGAAUAUGUCAUGUAGCGGUGAAAUGCUUAGAUAUGACAUAGAACACCAAUUGCGAAGGCAGCUGGCUACACGAAUAUUGACACUGAUGCACGAAAGCGUGGGGAUCAAACAGG